CCUACGGGGGGCAGCAGUAAGGAAUAUUGCGCAAUGGGCGAAAGCCUGACGCAGCGACGCCGCGUGAGUGAUGAAGGCCUUAGGGUUGUAAAGCUCUUUUACCCGGGAUGAUAAUGACAGUACCGGGAGAAUAAGCUCCGGCUAACUCCGUGCCAGCAGCCGCGGUAAUACGGAGGGAGCUAGCGUUGUUCGGAAAUACUGGGCGUAAAGCGCACGUAGGCGGCGCAGCAAGUCAGGAGUGAAAUCCCGGGGCUCAACCCCGGAACUGCCCUUGAAACUGCAGUGCUAGAAUCUUGGAGAGGCGAGUGGAAUUCCGAGUGUAGAGGUGAAAUUCGUAGAUAUUCGGAAGAACACCAGUGGCGAAGGCGACUCGCUGGACAAGUAUUGACGCUGAGGUGCGAAAGCGUGGGGAGCAAACAGGAUUAGAUACCCUCGUAGUC
Molecule: ribosomal RNA, 440 nt
Filed under: uncultured bacterium
Lineage: Bacteria
Description: bacterial SSU rRNA
Rfam family: Bacterial small subunit ribosomal RNA
Source: RNAcentral